RNAcentral lists this ribosomal RNA (374 nucleotides) under uncultured bacterium. RNAcentral describes it as "bacterial SSU rRNA". It matches the Rfam family "Bacterial small subunit ribosomal RNA", at positions 524 to 898 of the family's 1533-position model. The record is from RNAcentral.
UACGUAGGUGGCAAGCGUUGUCCGGAAUUACUGGGUGUAAAGGGCGUGUAGGCGGGUUGUCAAGUCAGAUGUGAAAUUCCGUGGCUCAACUGCGGAGCUGCAUCUGAAACUGAUGAUCUUGAGUACUGGAGAGGGAAGCGGAAUUCCUAGUGUAGCGGUGAAAUGCGUAGAUAUUAGGAGGAACACCAGUGGCGAAGGCGGCUUUCUGGACAGUAACUGACGCUGAGGCGCGAAAGCGUGGGGAGCGAACAGGAUUAGAUACCCUGGUAGUCCACGCCGUAAACGAUGGAUACUAGGUGUGAGGGGGAUUACCUCUUCGUGCCGCAGUUAACACAAUAAGUAUCCCACCUGGGGAGUACGGCCGCAAGGUUGAA